UGAGCAACCUGCCCUUGGCUUUGGGAUAACCCUCGGAAACGGGGGCUAAUACCGAAUGUUCACUGCUGGACGCAUGUUUGGUGGUGGAAAGUUUUUCGGCUGGGGAUGGGCACGCGGCCUAUCAGCUUGUUGGUGGGGUGAUGGCCUACCAAGGCGACGACGGGUAGCUGGUCUGAGAGGAUGGCCAGCCACAUUGGGACUGAGACACGGCCCAGACUCCUACGGGAGGCA
RNAcentral lists this ribosomal RNA (231 nucleotides) under uncultured bacterium. Its description in RNAcentral is "partial 16S ribosomal RNA". It matches the Rfam family "Bacterial small subunit ribosomal RNA", at positions 118 to 350 of the family's 1533-position model. The record is from RNAcentral.